GACGAACGCUGGCGGCGUGCUUAACACAUGCAAGUCGAACGGAAAGGCCCUGCUUUUAUGGUACUCGAGUGGCGAGCGGGGGAGUGACACACGGGUGAACUGCCCUCCUCUUCGGGAGAUACCUCGGAGACAGUGGGUAACACCGGAGAGAAGCCAUUUUGAUGCUGAUGGUUGGAAAGUGAGUUCGGUGUAUGAUGACCCGGCGGCCUAUCAGCUUGUUGGUUGGGUAAUGGCAUACCAAGGCGGCGACGGGUAGCCGGCCUGAGAGGGUGGACGGCCACAUUGGGACUGAGAUACGGCCCAGACUCCUACGGGAGGCAGCAGUGGGGAAUAUUGCACAAUGGGCGCAAGCCUGAUGCAGCGACGCCGCGUGCGGGAUGACGGCCUUCGGGUUGUAAACUCCUUUCGCUAGGGACGAAGCUUUUGUGACGGUACCUAGUAAAGAAGCACCGGCUAACUACGUG
This 464-nucleotide ribosomal RNA is filed under the name uncultured bacterium. RNAcentral describes it as "partial 16S ribosomal RNA". It matches the Rfam family "Bacterial small subunit ribosomal RNA", at positions 28 to 507 of the family's 1533-position model. The record is from RNAcentral.